GCGGACGUGGUGGAAUUGGUAGACACACUGGAUUUAGGUUCCAGCGCCGAAAGGCGUGAGAGUUCGAGUCUCUCCGUCCGCACCA
Molecule: transfer RNA, 85 nt
Filed under: Pseudomonas aeruginosa
Lineage: Bacteria; Pseudomonadati; Pseudomonadota; Gammaproteobacteria; Pseudomonadales; Pseudomonadaceae
Description: tRNA-Leu
Rfam family: tRNA
About the family: Transfer RNA (tRNA) molecules are approximately 80 nucleotides in length. Their secondary structure includes four short double-helical elements and three loops (D, anti-codon, and T loops). Further hydrogen bonds mediate the characteristic L-shaped molecular structure. tRNAs have two regions of fundamental functional importance: the anti-codon, which is responsible for specific mRNA codon recognition, and the 3' end, to which the tRNAs corresponding amino acid is attached (by aminoacyl-tRNA synthetases). tRNAs cope with the degeneracy of the genetic code in two manners: having more than one tRNA (with a specific anti-codon) for a particular amino acid; and 'wobble' base-pairing, i.e. permitting non-standard base-pairing at the 3rd anti-codon position.
Source: RNAcentral